UCAACUCACACUCUCUCUCAUACCCUCUCUCUGUCUUGCCUCUCAAUCUCACCUUACAGCACUCUGCUCUCAGCCCACAACACAACGCAUAGAAAAUCUAAGUACCCUACCCUCCCUUUUAUAGACCAAGGGAAAAAGGUGGUAGACUCCUAACGGAAUACCUAAUCAUUAUCCUAAUCUAACUAGGAAAAUAAAAAAAUAAACACUCUUAAAGAUUCUAGAUAACUCGAGAGUUUCACCAUCAAAUGGAUACUCCAUAUGAAUUCCAACCGGGCUUGAGCUUGGCUACUGGACUUGUACUCAUCCAAGUGGUCUUGGACUCAUCCAGAUGGGAUGGACUCAACAAUCUUCCCCUCCAGCCCACUGGAGGGUAAUCUGAUGUCUUUAAGUUAUCCAUCUUGACAGCUUCUGAUCCAGCUCUCCCAUAAAAUCUGCAAGACAACAUCUUAGAUACCUUAGCCUCAUCAACGGGUUACUCCACUUCCCACCGAAGUGUGUGCACCUCCACACCGAAGUGCCUGCACUUUUUCACCAAGGUGCCUUGCACCCCCCCCCCAUUGGGGUGCGUCACCCCCCACGGAGUGCGCCACAAAGUACGUCACUUUUCAAGUUGUCGUGGC
This 620-nucleotide long non-coding RNA is filed under the name Actinidia chinensis (golden kiwifruit). RNAcentral describes it as "long non-coding RNA (ACHI_LNC001462)". The record is from RNAcentral. Lineage: Eukaryota; Viridiplantae; Streptophyta; Magnoliopsida; Ericales; Actinidiaceae.